Trichonephila inaurata madagascariensis is the source of this 72-nucleotide non-coding RNA. The record is from the annotation of a GenBank genome assembly. Lineage: Eukaryota; Metazoa; Arthropoda; Arachnida; Araneae; Nephilidae.
GCCACAUCAUAGCUUAGUGGCAGAGCACUGGUCUUGUAAACCAGGGGUCGACUUCGAUCCUCACUGGUGGCU